GGGCGAGUGGCGGAACUGGUAUACGCGUACGCUUCAGGAGCGUAUGGCCGCAAGGUCGUGAGGGUUCAAGUCCCUCCUCGCCCACCA
This 87-nucleotide transfer RNA is filed under the name Candidatus Veblenbacteria bacterium RIFOXYA2_FULL_43_9. Its description in RNAcentral is "tRNA-Leu". It matches the Rfam family "tRNA". From Rfam's summary of the family: Transfer RNA (tRNA) molecules are approximately 80 nucleotides in length. Their secondary structure includes four short double-helical elements and three loops (D, anti-codon, and T loops). Further hydrogen bonds mediate the characteristic L-shaped molecular structure. tRNAs have two regions of fundamental functional importance: the anti-codon, which is responsible for specific mRNA codon recognition, and the 3' end, to which the tRNAs corresponding amino acid is attached (by aminoacyl-tRNA synthetases). tRNAs cope with the degeneracy of the genetic code in two manners: having more than one tRNA (with a specific anti-codon) for a particular amino acid; and 'wobble' base-pairing, i.e. permitting non-standard base-pairing at the 3rd anti-codon position. Lineage: Bacteria; Candidatus Vebleniibacteriota. RNAcentral also lists the same sequence under 2 other names. The record is from RNAcentral.